UGAGACUAGUUAACGAGCAAAUGUUAAAAUAAAUAAACAUUCAAAUAAACAAUCCACUCUCUUCCUUCUUCUUCUUUCUUUUAGAGGUUCGGUGCUUUUCAAGAAGGCAAAAUUGGAGUUUGACUCUCAGAUCAUAAAUCUCGUCGAAGAUGGAGAAUCAGAAAUCGACGGUGGAGAUUCCAAAGAUUCGAAAUAAGAGGAGAAGCUCCACCAAUCGUUUCUGUUUUAUCCAACAAGGGAUGAGUCCGAAAUAUUGAGAGGAAGAUUGUGUCGUGUGGGAGAUGAGAAGACGUUUCAGAGAUGAAAGCUGAAGAAAAAGGCUUCACCAUUGUUCUCGCUUCUUCUUCUUGAACAUAAACCUUAUAUAUGUUUGGGUUUGUGUUAAAUUGUUAGUAAAGUAGCACAGCCCCGUUGGUGAAGUAACUAUUAUUCUUAGGAAGAGGUGAAGUAGCACAUCGUUUUGUACAUUAACAGUUCUCAGUAACCAGCUAGUUAACAUCGUGUAAUUGUUUUGUUUACCUAGUUAACAUUGUGUCUCAA
Camelina sativa (false flax) is the source of this 540-nucleotide long non-coding RNA. RefSeq lists it as uncharacterized. Lineage: Eukaryota; Viridiplantae; Streptophyta; Magnoliopsida; Brassicales; Brassicaceae. The record is from RefSeq and is a predicted model, not a curated record.